CAAUGUCCUACAAUAUGGAAUGAUUUAAAAUACUAAAGCAAGGUAGAAUUGAACCAAAUGGAAGGAAGGAAAACAAAAAACAGAUAAAUAAUUCAGAUACCUCCUUCAAUAUAGUAUAAUUACAUUCUUCCUUUCCACAGUGUAGCUUGAAAUAAUACCAGAUGCACCGGUAUAGACGUGCACAAAGAUUCUGUUCACUACCCGUUCCUUUAAAAAAAAUAUUUAUU
This is a non-coding RNA of Pelobates cultripes (western spadefoot toad), 227 nucleotides long. The record is from the annotation of a GenBank genome assembly. NCBI's taxonomy places the organism in Eukaryota, Metazoa, Chordata, Amphibia, Anura, Pelobatidae.